AGGUGUCUCAGGCUGUCUGAUCCAAAAUUAAUCGUGUGGUCAAUUUUCCAUGACAAUUUGGUGGCCCAUACGGGGAUCCACAGAUGACUCCCCUGAACCGGAGGACCGCGGAAGGUCUCCUCCCAAGCCCUGGGCUCGCUUGAGAGAGGGGAAACUGGGCAAACACUGCAGC
Molecule: non-coding RNA, 172 nt
Organism: Chelonoidis abingdonii (Abingdon island giant tortoise)
Lineage: Eukaryota; Metazoa; Chordata; Testudines; Testudinidae
Source: RefSeq, a predicted model, not a curated record